RNAcentral lists this ribosomal RNA (981 nucleotides) under Photobacterium sp. S3AQ. RNAcentral's name for it is "bacterial SSU rRNA". It matches the Rfam family "Bacterial small subunit ribosomal RNA", at positions 50 to 1003 of the family's 1533-position model. Lineage: Bacteria; Pseudomonadati; Pseudomonadota; Gammaproteobacteria; Vibrionales; Vibrionaceae. The record is from RNAcentral.
UACACAUGCAGUCGAGCGGUAACAGGAGGAAAGCUUGCUUUCUUUGCUGACGAGCGGCGGACGGGUGAGUAAUGCCUGGGAAUAUGCCUUGAUGUGGGGGAUAACUAUUGGAAACGAUAGCUAAUACCGCAUAAUGUCCCGGUUUAUAAUGAACUGGGACCAAAGAGGGGGACCUUCGGGCCUCUCGCGUCAAGAUUAGCCCAGGUGGGAUUAGCUGGUUGGUGGGGUAACGGCUCACCAAGGCGACGAUCCCUAGCUGGUCUGAGAGGAUGAUCAGCCACACUGGAACUGAGACACGGUCCAGACUCCUACGGGAGGCAGCAGUGGGGAAUAUUGCACAAUGGGGGAAACCCUGAUGCAGCCAUGCCGCGUGUAUGAAGAAGGCCUUCGGGUUGUAAAGUACUUUCAGUCGUGAGGAAGGGUGUGUAGUUAACAGCUGCAUACCUUGACGUUAGCGACAGAAGAAGCACCGGGCUAACUCCGUGCCAGCAGCCGCGGUAAUACGGAGGGUGCGAGCGUUAAUCGGAAUUACUGGGCGUAAAGCGCAUGCAGGCGGUCUGUUAAGCAAGAUGUGAAAGCCCGGGGCUCAACCUCGGAACCGCAUUUUGAACUGGCAGACUAGAGUCUUGUAGAGGGGGGUAGAAUUUCAGGUGUAGCGGUGAAAUGCGUAGAGAUCUGAAGGAAUACCGGUGGCGAAGGCGGCCCCCUGGACAAAGACUGACGCUCAGAUGCGAAAGCGUGGGGAGCAAACAGGAUUAGAUACCCUGGUAGUCCACGCCGUAAACGAUGUCUACUUGGAGGUUGUGGCCUUGAGCCGUGGCUUUCGGAGCUAACGCGUUAAGUAGACCGCCUGGGGAGUACGGUCGCAAGAUUAAAACUCAAAUGAAUUGACGGGGGCCCGCACAAGCGGUGGAGCAUGUGGUUUAAUUCGAUGCAACGCGAAGAACCUUACCUACUCUUGACAUCCAGAGAAUUUGCCAG